RNAcentral lists this ribosomal RNA (378 nucleotides) under uncultured eukaryote. RNAcentral's name for it is "partial 18S ribosomal RNA". It matches the Rfam family "Eukaryotic small subunit ribosomal RNA", at positions 592 to 976 of the family's 1831-position model. The record is from RNAcentral.
CAAUAGCGUAUAUUUAAGUUGUUGCAGUUAAAAAGCUCGUAGUUGGAUUUCGGGUGGGACGCAGCGGUCUCGCAUUGCGUUUGUACUGCUGCAGCCCUCCUUCUUGCCGGGGGCGGCCUCUCGGACUUCACUGUCUGGGGGUCAGAAUCGGCGAUGUUACUUUGAGUAAAUUAGAGUGUUCAAAGCAAGCUUACGCUCUGAAUAUAAUAGCAUGGGAUAACACGACAGGACUCUGGCCUAUCGUGUUGGUCUAUAGGACCAGAGUAAUGAUUAAGAGGGACAGUCUGGGGCAUUCGUAUUCCGUUGUCAGAGGUGAAAUUCUUGGAUUUACGGAAGACGAACAUCUGCGAAAGCAUUUGCCAAGGAUGUUUNCAUUGA